AGAGUUGAUCCUGGCUCAGGACGAACGCUGGCGGCACGCUUAACACAUGCAAGUCGAACGAGAGAAGAGGAGCUUGCUUUUCUGAUCUAGUGGCGGACGGGUGAGUAACACGUGAGCAAUCUGCCUUUCAGAGGGGGAUACCGAUUGGAAACGAUCGUUAAUACCGCAUAACAUAAUUGAACCGCAUGAUUUGAUUAUCAAAGAUUUAUCGCUGAAAGAUGAGCUCGCGUCUGAUUAGCUAGUUGGUAAGGUAACGGCUUACCAAGGCGACGAUCAGUAGCCGGACUGAGAGGUUGAUCGGCCACAUUGGGACUGAGACACGGCCCAGACUCCUACGGGAGGCAGCAGUGGGGAAUAUUGCACAAUGGAGGAAACUCUGAUGCAGCGAUGCCGCGUGAGGGAAGAAGGUUUUAGGAUUGUAAACCUCUGUCUUCAGGGACGAAAAAAGACGGUACCUGAGGAGGAAGCUCCGGCUAACUACGUGCCAGCAGCCGCGGUAAUACGUAGGGAGCGAGCGUUGUCCGGAAUUACUGGGUGUAAAGGGAGCGUAGGCGGGAUCGCAAGUCAGAUGUGAAAACUAUGGGCUUAACCCAUAAACUGCAUUUGAAACUGUGGUUCUUGAGUGAAGUAGAGGUAAGCGGAAUUCCUAGUGUAGCGGUGAAAUGCGUAGAUAUUAGGAGGAACAUCAGUGGCGAAGGCGGCUUACUGGGCUUUAACUGACGCUGAGGCUCGAAAGCGUGGGGAGCAAACAGGAUUAGAUACCCUGGUAGUCCACGCCGUAAACGAUGAUUACUAGGUGUGGGGGGACUGACCCCUUCCGUGCCGCAGCAAACGCAAUAAGUAAUCCACCUGGGGAGUACGACCGCAAGGUUGAAACUCAAAGGAAUUGACGGGGGCCCGCACAAGCAGUGGAGUAUGUGGGUUAAUUCGAAGCAACGCGAAGAACCUUACCAGGUCUUGACAUCGUAUGCAUAGCUCAGAGAUGAGUGAAAUCUCUUCGGAGACAUAUAGACAGGUGGUGCAUGGUUGUCGUCAGCUCGUGUCGUGAGAUGUUGGGUUAAGUCCCGCAACGAGCGCAACCCUUACUGUUAGUUGCUACGCAAGAGCACUCUAGCAGGACCGCCGUUGACAAAACGGAGGAAGGUGGGGAUGACGUCAAAUCAUCAUGCCCCUUAUGACCUGGGCCUCACACGUACUACAAUGGCUGUCAACAGAGGGAAGCAAAGCCGCGAGGUGGAGCGAACCCCUAAAAGCAGUCUUAGUUCGGAUUGUAGGCUGCAACCCGCCUACAUGAAGUCGGAAUUGCUAGUAAUCGCAGAUCAGCAUGCUGCGGUGAAUACGUUCCCGGGCCUUGUACACACCGCCCGUCACGCCAUGGGAGUCGGUAACACCCGAAGCCUGUAGUCUAACCGCAAGGAGGACGCAGUCGAAGGUGGGAUUGAUGACUGGGGUGAAGUCGGAACAAGGUA
Molecule: ribosomal RNA, 1469 nt
Filed under: metagenome
Description: bacterial SSU rRNA
Rfam family: Bacterial small subunit ribosomal RNA
Source: RNAcentral